GCCUUCAUGGUUUAACGGUAGCACUCUCGGCUCGUACACGAGAGGUUCAGGUUCGAGUCCCGGCCAGGGCA
Molecule: transfer RNA, 71 nt
Filed under: Stegodyphus mimosarum
Lineage: Eukaryota; Metazoa; Arthropoda; Arachnida; Araneae; Eresidae
Rfam family: tRNA
About the family: Transfer RNA (tRNA) molecules are approximately 80 nucleotides in length. Their secondary structure includes four short double-helical elements and three loops (D, anti-codon, and T loops). Further hydrogen bonds mediate the characteristic L-shaped molecular structure. tRNAs have two regions of fundamental functional importance: the anti-codon, which is responsible for specific mRNA codon recognition, and the 3' end, to which the tRNAs corresponding amino acid is attached (by aminoacyl-tRNA synthetases). tRNAs cope with the degeneracy of the genetic code in two manners: having more than one tRNA (with a specific anti-codon) for a particular amino acid; and 'wobble' base-pairing, i.e. permitting non-standard base-pairing at the 3rd anti-codon position.
Source: Rfam by way of RNAcentral